UACGGAGGGUGCAAGCGUUGUUCGGAAUUAUUGGGCGUAAAGCGCGUGUAGGCGGUCGAUUAAGUCUGAUGUGAAAGCCCAGGGCUUAACCCUGGAAGUGCAUUGGAUACUGGUCGACUAGAGGACGAGAGAGGAAAGUGGAAUUAAUGGUGUAGGGGUGAAAUCCGUAGAUAUCAUUAGGAACAUCUGUGGCGAAGGCGGCUUUCUGGCUCGUUUCUGACGCUGAGACGCGAAAGCGUGGGGAGCAAACAGG
RNAcentral lists this ribosomal RNA (253 nucleotides) under uncultured bacterium. Its description in RNAcentral is "partial 16S ribosomal RNA". It matches the Rfam family "Bacterial small subunit ribosomal RNA", at positions 524 to 776 of the family's 1533-position model. The record is from RNAcentral.